GGCGGCUUCGGUCGUUUUUUGUUGACUCAGAAUAACUUAGCUGAUCGCAUGGUCUUGUACCGGCGACGUGUCUUUCAAGUAUCUGCCUUAUCAACUUUCGAUGGUAGUGUAUCUGACUACCAUGGUGGUGACGGGUAACGGGGGAUAAGGGUUCGACUCCGGAGAAGGGGCCUGAGAAAUGGCCACUACGUCUAAGGAUGGCAGCAGGCGCGCAAAUUACCCACUCUCGGAACGAGGAGGUAGUGAAGAGAAAUAACGAGACCGUUCUCUACGAGGCCGGUCAUCGGAAUGGGUACAAUCCAAACCCUUUAACGAGUAUCUAUGAGAGGGCAAGUCUGGUGCCAGCAGCCGCGGUAAUUCCAGCUCUCAAAAUGCAUAGAAUUAUUGCUGCGGUUAAAAAGCUCGUAGUUGAAUUUGUGCCAGGGAUUGGGUCCACCCUUGUUUGGUGCGUACUCAUCCUCCCUGGCUUGGCUGCCGGUUUUCUCGUCGUGGCCUUUAUUGUGCUGCGGCGAGUGGCUGGCGAUUUUACUUUGAACAAAUCAGAGUGCUCAACACAGGCGUUUCGCUUGAAUGUUUUUGCAUGGAAUAAUAGAAAAGGAUUUUGGUCUGAUUUUAUUGGUUUUAUUGACUGAAAUAAUGGUUAACAAGGAUAAACGGGGGCAUUCGUAUCGCUGCGUGAGAGGUGAAAUUCUUGGACCGCAGCGCGACGAACAACAGCGAAAGCAUUUGCCAAGAAUAUCUUUAUUAAUCAAGAACGAAAGUCAGAGGUUCGAAGGCGAUCAGAUACCGCCCUAGUUUUGACCGUAAACGAUGCCAACUAGCGAUCCGCCGGUGGAAAUUUUGCCCUGGUGGGGAGCUUCCCGGAAACGAAAGUCUUCCGGUUCCGGGGGAAGUAUGGUUGCAAAGCUGAAACUUAAAGGAAUUGACGGAAGGGCACCACCAGGAGUGGAGCCUGCGGCUUAAUUUGACUCAACACGGGAAAACUCACCCGGCCCGGACACCGUGAGGAUUGACAGAUUGAUAGCUUUUUCAUGAUUUGGUGGAUGGUGGUGCAUGGCCGUUCUUAGUUCGUGGAGUGAUUUGUCUGGUUUAUUCCGAUAACGAGCGAGACUCUAGCCUAUUAAAUAGUACGCACAUUGUUAUUGUGUGUUUGUGACUUCCUAAAGGGAUUUUCGGUGUACAGCCGCAAGAGAUUGAGCAAUAACAGGUCUGUGAUGCCCUUAGAUGUCCGGGGCUGCACGCGCGCUACACUGGCGAAAUCAGCGUG
Molecule: ribosomal RNA, 1267 nt
Filed under: Pauronemoides siddiqii
Lineage: Eukaryota; Metazoa; Nematoda; Chromadorea; Rhabditida; Sphaerulariidae
Description: SSU rRNA
Rfam family: Eukaryotic small subunit ribosomal RNA
Source: RNAcentral